RNAcentral lists this ribosomal RNA (735 nucleotides) under uncultured marine bacterium. RNAcentral's name for it is "bacterial SSU rRNA". It matches the Rfam family "Bacterial small subunit ribosomal RNA", at positions 97 to 869 of the family's 1533-position model. The record is from RNAcentral.
GGCAGACGGGUGAGUAACAUGUAGGUAUCUUCCCUUCGGCCUGGAAUAACACGAGGAAACUUGUGCUAAUACUGGAUAAGUCUUUACGGAGAAAGCUUUAUGCACCAUUGGAUGAGCCUGCACUUGAUUAGUUUGUUGGAGGGGUAAUGGCCUACCAAGACUGUGAUCAAUAGCUGAUUUGAGAGGAUGACCAGCCACAUUGGGACUGAGACACGGCCCAAACUCCUACGGGAGGCAGCAGUGGGGAAUCUUGCACAAUGGAGGAAACUCUGAUGCAGCGAUGCCGCGUGAGUGAAGAAGGCCCUUGGGUUGUAAAGCUCUUUCGUCGGGGAAGAAAAUGACUGUACCCGAAUAAGAAGGUCCGGCUAACUUCGUGCCAGCAGCCGCGGUAAUACGAAGGGACCUAGCGUAGUUCGGAAUUACUGGGCUUAAAGAGUUCGUAGGUGGUUGAAAAAGUUGGUGGUGAAAUCCCAGAGCUUAACUCUGGAACUGCCAUCAAAACUUUUCAGCUAGAGUUUGAUAGAGGAAAGCAGAAUUUCUAGUGUAGAGGUGAAAUUCGUAGAUAUUAGAAAGAAUACCAAUUGCGAAGGCAGCUUUCUGGAUCAUUACUGACACUGAGGAACGAAAGCAUGGGUAGCGAAGAGGAUUAGAUACCCUCGUAGUCUAUGCCGUAAACGAUGUGUGUUAGACGUUGGAAAUUUAUUUUCAGUGUCGCAGCGAAAGCGAUAAACACAC